This 4298-nucleotide long non-coding RNA is filed under the name Phaseolus vulgaris (common bean). RNAcentral's name for it is "long non-coding RNA (PVUL_LNC005270)". The record is from RNAcentral. Lineage: Eukaryota; Viridiplantae; Streptophyta; Magnoliopsida; Fabales; Fabaceae.
AAGGAUAAAUUUGUAAAGUAACAUUUAACAAUUUUAAAAAAAAUUAAAAGUUCCUCACAACCAUAACAUCACUCACAAACUCGCAUAAACUUUUCUGACACAUCCACUCUAGCAUACUCCAAUCCAAACAACAUUACUUUCUUCUCACAUCUUCACACAUCCAAUGCCUCAAAUUCUCACACAUCCACUCCCCAAUCCAAACACACACUAAAAUUCUAAAAUAAUUCACAGUCCUUUCAAAUCUAUUUGAUUAUAGGUGGUCCAAAACUCAAGUGAACUUAUUCAUAUAGGUGUUCCAAAACUCGAGUUGUUACCACUUUGUUCAUAAUACAACAAUAAAAAAAAGUCCAUUUUGCUUUCAAGUAAUCAACACGCUGGGUUGAAAUCCAUGGACAGUAAAUCCUCCAUCAACAGAAAUAACCUGUCCAGUGAUGUAAGAAGCUGCUGGCAAGCAAAGGAAAGUCACCAAGGAUGACACUUCAUGUGCUUCUGCAAUUCGCUUUAUUGGCGUACGAAUCAUUAUCUCGUCAACAUAUUCUUUGAUUGCAAGCACCUGGUAGAUACAAGGUAACAAUUAGCAUGCUAACAUACUCACAUGUGCUCUCUCAAGAAUUUGAAUUUCGUACUAAAUUAAUCUAAAAAUAUUUUAUCUGAUAGACAGACACUCUUUUUAUCUGAAUACUCUUAUACUGCUGAAUAGACAAGUUAAAACAUAAAAGGAGCAUGAAUGUAAAACUUCAACAUAUCAGCUUAGAAUUUAUUUACUAAUGACCGACCAGUUCAAUGUGGAUAAAACUCAAUUUUAUUUCUCAAAAUAAUUAACCAAUCUUCAGAAAGAAAAGACAAUUAGUCUCUUGGAACAGAACAUAAACCGGGUGAAAGAGCAUUACAGAUUCCGCAAGUGAUGUUUUGGUAUACCAGGGUGCAACACUGUUGCUCCUAAUAUUGUCUUUCGCCCAUUCACAUGCAAGAUAUUUGGUAAUCUGAUCCAUUGCAGCUGAAGAAAACAGCACAAUGAUUCUAUUUCGUCAAUAUACUUCAAAAUAGUUUAUAAUCUGUGUUUGAGAUGACAUAAUUAUACAUCGACACACCUUUAGCUGCUGCAUAAAUGACUCCAGUACCUAGACUUGUCUGACCUGCAACGGAGGAAAUGGACACAAUACUUCCAUUUCCAGAUUCUUUCAGAAGAGGAUAUGCAAGUUGGCACAGAUGGUAUGCAGGGUCCAAGUUAGUUGCCAUCAAUUUUGAAUAUUCUUCGGUUGUAUACUCUAUUGUUGGCCUCCUCACAUUUGUUGCAACAUUGUUUACCUAAGCUCACAAGAUGAUCAUAGAAACAAAACUUAUUGUGUGCUGAAAUCUCGCCCACAAGAGAAACGAGUCUAGCUAUUUGAUUGAACAUUUUUAAUUUUAACAAUUUUAUGCUGAAAUGAUCACAAAAGGCAAAGUUAUACAUACUAUGUUUUCAAUUAACUAUAUUGUGCAGAUACAAAUGCUGCCUACAGGAUGGAUUUCAAGCAACAAUAAGAAAGUCUUAUUUAGGCAAAAUACAUAAAGAAAUUNNNNNNNNNNNNNNNNNNNNNNNNNNNNNNNNNNNNNNNNNNNNNNNNNNNNNNNNNNNNNNNNNNNNNNNNNNNNNNNNNNNNNNNNNNNNNNNNNNNNUGAGUGCAUGUAAGAGGAGAACAGGAUGAAGAACACACACUAACACAUUGAGUGUUUUACGAGGAUGUUAUUACAAUACACGAUACAGUAUUCAGCAAUACACAUCAUAUUGAAACUCCUGUUUGAAUUGAAAAACCUGAGAUCAUCUCUAACAAAUUCAGUAACUAAUAUCCCAAAAUAAGAGAGUCAUCAAUACAGCUGAAUACACGGGUUAUCCUGCUUCUAUCCUAAGCACAGGCAAAGCAGCUGGGUUGCAUCAUAAUACAUGACAGGGUAGGUACAGAAGCUCCAAAAUAUUUUGAAAUUUAGCACAAUAAACAAAUUAGUAAGUGGUACAUUCAUUCACUUAACACCGGUUUUCACAUUUUGACAGUAUAGUUUCUUGAUUUUAAAGGUCUUAUCUUGAGAUGUGUCAUUAUUGUCACAAACUCUAAGAUUGUAUUUAUGGUGCUGCAGUAAACAUUUCCUGCAUUCACACAUUUAGUUAAUCAGAAUCGUUGGAUGAAGAUGCAACAACUCAUACUUUUUCUUGCCAAAUCUAGUUUUAGGAUAUGUAUUUGAAAUGUGAACCAUUUGAUCUUCAUCCAACAGUUCCUUUUCAUGAAUGCCUGAAUGUUAGAGAUCGAUUUCAUGAAUUCAAUCAGUGAUGACUUUUUAUAAAGCUGAACACUUAGAUUAUCCUGCCUACUAUUCCAAUUUCUAAAUAUACAAACAAAAAGAAGAAGAAAGACUCACAAGUAUGUUGAGCAUGCCGUUGAAGGCAGAGGCCACUUCUUUGAUGAGAUUCUCUCUUUGGGCUGGAAAAGACACAUCACAAACCGACCCAGAAACCGAAAACCCCUUCUCUUUCCAUUCCUUUAAGCAUGCAUUCAGCUCCUCUUCAUUCCUGGAACAAGUGUACACAGUUGCACCAAACUCCGCCAGUUCCUCCACCACAGCAUGCCUGAAUCAAAAGUGAAACCCAAUCACACCCAUAAAAAAUAGCAUACAAAAAACGCAACUUCAAGUCGUUUUAACAAACCCCAGAAUCAAGAAAUAAAAAACAUAAAAAUAAAAAACAUCCGGAUCUAAAAACAUAAAAAUAAAAGUAAACAUCCAAAGUUAUAACCCUAAUUUAAUAAAAACAUAAAUUGUUCAAGUUUCUCACACAUGGAAACAAUUAGCCUCAUUGGCUUUUAUAAUAACAACGUAUAAUAAAAGAACUAUGAUGUGUGAUGAGAGCUUGUUAGAACACUUAAAUAUUAUUUUAUCCCCUUUCCGAAAAGAAUGUACUUGACACAUGUUCUUCCAAUCACGUCCAAUCUUCACACUUUUUGCAGGUAAAGGUUUCUAUGAAAACCUUGCAUUGAACAUCUUUUAUAAGCCCAUAAAGAACAAUUUUUUUGAAUCUGCCUCUACGAAUGUAUUUGGCAAAAUCCUCAGGUAGAUACUUCAAAAAAAUAAAACAAUGUGUAAAAAACUUAAUAUACAAAAUAAGGAUUGAAAUAUUAAAUAAGACAAAAGUAAAAUGUCACCAGAUAACUUGAUUGAGUCUGACGAAGAGAUAAAGUUACGAAGAAAUGUUGUUGAAAAGGACCAUUGGUGAGUGGUUCACGACGUUCAGCUUCAGCAAAAUGGACAGAUACCAUUAUUUGAGAAGCCGCUUCCAUGUAAACAUUAAUAUGAAAGCAGUUAUCACUAACGUAUCGGAAAUAUACGCGAUGUUCUCCUUUAAGAUCAUAAAAAUGACGUAAGUUCCCCCAUGCAUAGAUUAUUUCAGGAUUCAGCAAAUCCAUGUUGUACAUUACAACAUGGAUGUUCCCGUUAUUAUCUGCCAGCAGACAGUGGUCAUCAAGUUCAUUUUGAAAUUCAAUAGCAAAAGCGCAAUCCACAGUAUCUCUUUCUAUGUCUAGAAAAUAUAAAUAUAGUUUACUUUUUAUUUUAAAAAUAAAUAGAAAGGAUGUUUGUGAUAUGAAUCAUUGAAGAGAUAAUCAUAUCAUUUAAUCACUUUGUUUUUGUUUUUUAAUUUGUCAUCUAAGUAGGUUUUGUUCAAAACUUUAACAUGAUCCGAUUGGAUCUGCCUUUAGCAUUAUUUUUAUUUUUUAAAUUAUCAAAUAAAUAGUAAGAUAUGUUAAAUAUAACAAAAAAUAACUUUGAAUAUUAAUAUUUCCUUUAAAUAUCAUUAUAUAAUUAAUAAUAAUAUAACUCUUUACAUAUAUAUUACAUAAAAAAUAACAUUUUACAACUUUACAAAUAAAAAUUGUUGGAAGCUCUGCAUUUUGUUCACCAGAUGAAGUACAAUCAUGUUGCAACAUAUUAUUACAGGCAUUGAAUAUAUAUAAAUUUUUAAAAUACUAAAAUAACUCAUUCUCAUAGUUACUAUGAUUCAAGAUAGUCGUGAAAGACAUUAAAAUUCUAAAAUAAUUCACUGUCCUUUCAAAUCUAUUUGAUCAUAGGUGUUCCAAAGCUCAAGUGAACUUAUUCAUCAUAGGUGUUCCAAAGCUCGAGUGGUUACCACUUUGUUCAUAAUACAACAAUAAAAAAGUCCAUUUUGCUUUCAAGUAAUUCUCACGCUGGGUUGAAAUCCAUAGACAGUAAAUCCUCCAUCAACAGAAAUAACCUGUCCAGUGAUGUAAGAAGCUGCUGGCAAGCAAAGGAAA